CGUGGGGUAGACUAUUUAAGUCUAUGGGCUCAUAACCUGGAAAUACGUGAGGUGCGUUCCCGUGG
RNAcentral lists this transfer RNA (65 nucleotides) under Anadara pilula. Its description in RNAcentral is "tRNA-Met". The record is from RNAcentral. Lineage: Eukaryota; Metazoa; Mollusca; Bivalvia; Arcoida; Arcidae.